UGGGGAAUAUUGCACAAUGGGCGCAAGCCUGAUGCAGCCAUGCCGCGUGUGUGAAGAAGGCCUUCGGGUUGUAAAGCACUUUCAGCGAGGAGGAAGGUGGUGAGCUUAAUACGCUCAUCAAUUGACGUUACUCGCAGAAGAAGCACCGGCUAACUCCGUGCCAGCAGCCGCGGUAAUACGGAGGGUGCAAGCGUUAAUCGGAAUUACUGGGCGUAAAGCGCACGCAGGCGGUUUGUUAAGUCAGAUGUGAAAUCCCCGGGCUCAACCUGGGAACUGCAUUUGAAACUGGCAAGCUAGAGUCUCGUAGAGGGGGGUAGAAUUCCAGGUGUAGCGGUGAAAUGCGUAGAGAUCUGGAGGAAUACCGGUGGCGAAGGCGGCCCCCUGGA
This 386-nucleotide ribosomal RNA is filed under the name uncultured bacterium. Its description in RNAcentral is "partial 16S ribosomal RNA". It matches the Rfam family "Bacterial small subunit ribosomal RNA", at positions 355 to 733 of the family's 1533-position model. The record is from RNAcentral.